CUGGCACACCAGCCACUCGCUCUCCUCUUUGUUCGGUUUGUUAUAGUCUACCACAUUUGUAGAUGGAUUCUCUGUCAGAGCUUCACCUCCAUGACUGCAUCAUUCAAGGUUAGGAAUCUGCCUGGUGCCCUCCAUGUCUACAUGUGCAGUAGAGGAAGGAAGACGAGAUGGCCGUCUGUCUAUUCAGGAACUGUAUGUCUGAAACUAAGGCAGACACAGACUGUGGGAUUUGUGCAAAUACUAUAUAUAUUCAGCAAGAAAAUAUGGACAUGCAUGACCACUGAGGU
Molecule: non-coding RNA, 287 nt
Organism: Epinephelus lanceolatus (giant grouper)
Lineage: Eukaryota; Metazoa; Chordata; Actinopteri; Perciformes; Serranidae
Source: RefSeq, a predicted model, not a curated record